Solanum pennellii is the source of this 516-nucleotide long non-coding RNA. RefSeq lists it as uncharacterized. NCBI's taxonomy places the organism in Eukaryota, Viridiplantae, Streptophyta, Magnoliopsida, Solanales, Solanaceae. The transcript is spliced from 2 exons. The record is from RefSeq and is a predicted model, not a curated record.
CUCCAUUUCUCCUCAAAUUUCGCUUCAAUGUUGCUGUUCAGAUAAUACAAAUUAGAGGUUUUAUCGCAUAGUGGUCAGAAAUUAGAGAGAAGAAGAGGUGUACAAUACAACUCACGUUGUUCUGAAGUUUCCUCCCUCAGUUUUUGAUGGGUGCACCUAAGCAAAAGUGGACUUCAGAAGAAGAAGCUGCCCUUAAAGUUGGGAUACUUAAGCACGGACGAGGUAAAUGGCGCACGAUUGUCAAGGAUCCAGAAUUUAGUGGAGUAUUCUGUUUGCGUUCAAAUGUAGAUCUCAAAGUAGGGUUCCUUCUAUCAUUUUUUUCAUUAGAUAAUUAUAUUUAGUGCAGAGGAAGUUUGGAAGUUAUUUGAACCAGAUAUAGUUGUGAGGUCUAGUCUUAAUUUUAGUUUCUUAUCUAUGCAUGUGGUGUUAAUAUGCUUUCCUAUUCAUACUUAUUGAUGCUGUUCAGGACAAGUGGAGGAACAUGACUGUAAUGGCAAACGGUUGGGGUUCUCGGGA